Molecule: long non-coding RNA, 996 nt
Filed under: Homo sapiens (human)
Lineage: Eukaryota; Metazoa; Chordata; Mammalia; Primates; Hominidae
Description: HSALNT0314590
Source: RNAcentral
CUCUGCUCGGCCAGCCGCCCCGUCCGGGAGGGAGGUGGGGGGGUCAGCCCCCCGCCCGGCCAGCCGCCCUGUCCGGGAGGUGAGGGCCGCCUCUGCCCGGCCGCCCCUACUGGGAAGUGAGGAGCCCCUCUGCUCGGCCAGCCGCCCCGUCCGGGAGGGAGGUGGGGGGGUCAGCCCCCCGCCCGGCCAGCCGCCCCGUCCGGGAGGGAGGUGGGGGGGUCAGCCCCCCGCCUGGCCAGCCGCCCCGUCCGGGAGGUGAGGGGCGCCUCUGCCCGGCCGCCCCUACUGGGAAGUGAGGAGCCCCUCUGCUCGGCCAGCCGCCCCGUCCGGGAGGGAGGUGGGGGGUCAGCCCCCCACCCGGCCAGCCGCCCCGUCCGGGAGGUGAGGGGCGCCUCUGCCCGGCUGCCCUUACUGGGAAGUGAGGAGCCCCUCUGCCCGGCCGCCACCCCGUCUGGGAGGUGUGCCCAGCAGCUCAUUGAGAACGGGCCAUGAUGACAAUGGCGGUUUUGUGGAAUAGAAAGGGGGGAAAGGUGGGGAAAAGAUUGAGAGGUUGGAUGGUUGCCGUGUCUGUGUAGAAAGAGGUAGACAUGGGAGACUUCUCAUUUUGUUCUGUACUAAGAAAAAUUAUUCUGCCUUGGGAUCCUGUUGAUCUGUGACCUUACCCCCAACCCUGUGCUCUCUGAAACAUGUGCUGUGUCCACUCAGGGUUAAAUGGAUUAAGGGCGGUGCAAGAUGUGCUUUGUUAAACAGAUGCUUGAAGGCAGCAUGCUCGUUAAAAGUCAUCACCACUCCCUAAUCUCAAGUACCCCGGGACACAAACACUGCGGAAGGCCGCAGGGUCCUCUGCCUAGGAAAACCAGAGACCUUUGUUCACUUGUUUAUCUGCUGACCUUCCCUCCACUAUUGUCCAAUGACCCUGCCAAAUCCCCCUCUGCGAGAAACACCCAAGAAUGAUCAAUAAAAAAAAAUAAAAAAUAAAAACAUUAUAUUAUCGAC